AUUACGCUUUGGUAAGUUUGAGAUAAGGCCAAGAAAUGUGCAUUCCAGAGGAUUCUAAUACAAAGAUUUAAAGGCUGAAAAAACAUCAGUGAAGGCUAUAGUCUUGGAUUACUAUGGAAAUGUUUGGCGAUAAAGUGAUAUAAAAUGUAACAGAGCAGCUACAAAGUCCCGCUGGUUCAAAAAUGAAUGCAUUUGAAAAACGACUUGAAAAUGUCACUACCACUUUGAAUAACCUUCAAAACUGCUUACAAGAGGAAUCCGGGCAAAAAGAAUAUAAAUACUGAAGCAGGG
Long non-coding RNA from Gorilla gorilla gorilla (western lowland gorilla), 291 nucleotides. RefSeq lists it as uncharacterized. The transcript has 4 exons. The record is from RefSeq and is a predicted model, not a curated record. NCBI's taxonomy places the organism in Eukaryota, Metazoa, Chordata, Mammalia, Primates, Hominidae.